Catharus ustulatus (Swainson's thrush) is the source of this 3639-nucleotide long non-coding RNA. RefSeq lists it as uncharacterized. The transcript is spliced from 3 exons. The record is from RefSeq and is a predicted model, not a curated record. Lineage: Eukaryota; Metazoa; Chordata; Aves; Passeriformes; Turdidae.
UCGGGCAUGGUGGCCCAAGGGUCAUUCAAGGUGGCCCAAGGGUCAUUGAAGGUGUCCAGAGUGGCCCAAGGGUCAUUCAGUGUGGUCCAAGGGUCAUUCAAGGUGGCCCAAAGGUCAUUCAAGGUGGGCCAAGGGUCAUUCAAGGUGUCCAGGGUGGCCCAAGGGUCAGUCAUGGUGGUUCAAGGGUCAUUCAAGGUGUCCAAGAUGGUCCAAGGGUUGUCCAUGGUGGCCCAAGGUGGCCCAAGGGUCAUUCCAGGUGUCCAGAGUGGCCCAAGGGUCAGUCAAGGUGGUCCAAGGUGGCCUGAGGGUCAUUCAGUGUGGCCCAAAGUUGUCUGAGGGUCAUUCAAGGUGGUCCAAGGGUCAGUCAGGGUGGCCCAAGGGUCAUUCCAGGUGUCCACGGUGGCCCAAGGGUCAUUAGGGUGGGCCAAGGAUCAUUCAUGGUGGCCCAAGGGUCAUUCAGGGUGGGCCAAGGGUCAGUCAAGGUGGUCCAAGGGUCAUCUGAUGUGGUCCAGGGUGGCCCAGGGGUCAUUCAAGGUGGCCCAAGGUGGCCUGAGGGUCAUUCAGUGUGGCCCAAAGUUGUCUGAGGGUCAUUCAUGGUGGGCCAAGGGUCGGUCAUGGUGGUCCAAAAUGGCCUGAGGGUCAUUCAAGGUGGUCCAAGGGUCAGUCAAGGUGGUCCAAGGGUUGGUCAUGGUGACCCAAGGGUUAUUCAAGGCGUCCAGGGUGGUCCAAGGGUCGUCCAUGGUGGCCCAAGAUGGUCCAAGGGUCAGUCAAGGUGGCCCAAGGUGGCCUGAGGGUCAGUCAAGGUGGCCCAAAGGUCAUUCAAGGUGUCUAGGGUGGGCCAAGGGUCAUUCAAGGUGGGCCAAGGGUCAUUCAAGGUGUCCAAGGUGGCCCAAGGAUCAUUCAAGAUGGCCCAAGGGUCAUUCAAGGUGGGCCAAAGGUCAUUCAAGGUGUCCAAGGUGGUCCAAGGGUUGUCCGUGGUGUCCAGGGUGGCCCAAGGGUCAUUCAUGGUGGCUCAAGGUGGUCCAGAGGUCAUUCAAGGUGGCCCAAAGGUCAUUCAAGGUGUCCAGAGUGACCCAAAAGUCAUUCAGUGUGGUCCGAGGUGGCCCAAGGGUCAGUCAUGGUGGCCCAAGGGUCAUUCAAGGUGGACCAAGGGUGAUUCAAGGUGUCCAGGGUGGUCCAAAAUGGCCUGAGAGUCAUUCAAUGUGGUCCAAGUGUCAUUGAAGGUGUCCAGAGUGGCCCAAGGGUCAGUCAUGGUGGAUCAAGGGUCAUUCAGGUAGCCCAAAGCGGUCCAAGGGCCAUUCAAGGUGGUCCAAGGGUCAUUCAAGGAGACUCAAGGGUCAUUCAAGGUGUCCAUGGUGGUCCAAGGGUCAUUCAGUGUGGCCCAAAGUGGUCUGAGGGUCAUUCAAGGUGGGCCAGGGGUUGGUCAUGGUGGUCCAUCGUGGCCUGAGAGUCAGUCAAGGUGGCCCAAGGAUCAUUCAAGGUGGCCCAAGGUGGCCUGAGAGUCAUUCAGUGUGGCCCAAGUGUCAUUGCAGGUGUCCAGAGUGGCCCAAGGGUCAGUCAUGGUGGCCCAAAGUGGCCCAAGGAUCAGUCAAGGUGGUUCAAGGGUCAGUCAAGGUGGGUCAAGGGUUUUUCAUGGUGGCCCAAGGUGGCCUGAGAGUCAGUCAAGGUGGCCCAAGGGUCAUUGAAGGUAUCCAGAGUGGCCCAAGGAUCAUUCAAGGUGGCCCAAGGUGGCCUGACGGUCAGUCAAGGUGGGCCAAGGGUCAUUCAAGGUGUCCUGGGUGGUCCAGGGUUCACUCAAGGUGGCCUGAGGGUCAUUCAAGGUGGGCAAAGGGUUGGUCAUGGUGCUCCAAAAUGGCCUGAGGGUCAUUCAGGGUGGGCCAAGGGUGGGCCAAGGGUCAGUCAUGGUGGCCCAAGGAUCAGUCAUGGUGUCCAGAGUGGCUCAAGGGUCAUUCACGUUGGGCUAAGGGUUGGUCAUGGUGGUCCAAAAUGGCCUGAAGGUCAUUCGUUGUGGUUCAAGGGUCAUUCAAGGUGUCCAGAGUGGCCCAAGGAUCAUCCAGGGUGGUCCAAGGUGGCCUGAGGGUCAUUCAAGAUGGCCUGAGGGUCAUUCAGGGUGGCCCAAGAGUCAUACAGGGUGGCCCAAAGUAGCCUGAGGGUCAUUGAAGGUGGUCCAAGGGUCAGUCAUGGUGGGCCAAGGGUCAUCCAGGAUGGUCCAGGGUAUCCCAAGGGUCAUCCGGGGUGGCCCAAGGGUCAUUCAAGGUGGCCCAAGGUGACCUGAGGGUCAUUAAAGGUGGCCUGAGGGUCAUUCAAGAUGGCCCCAGGGUCAUUCAAGGUGGGUCACAGUGGUCUGGGGGGGUCCAAGAGUCAGUCAUGGUGGCCCAAGGGUCAUUGAAGGUGGCCCAAGGGUCAUCCAGGGUAGUCCAGGGGUCAUUCAAGGUGGUCCAAGGUAAUCCCAGGAGAUCCAAGGUGGCCCAGGGUCCAUCCUAGGUGGCCCAAGGUGGUUCAAGGUGACCCAGAGUCAUCCAAGGUUGCCCAGGGUCCAUCCAAGGUGGCCCAAAGCGGUUCAAGGUGGCCCAAACUCCAUCCCAGGUUGCCCAAGGCCCACCCAAGGUUGCCCAAGGCCCACCUAAGGUUGCCCAAACUCCAUCCCAGGUGGCCCAAAGCAGUUCAAGGUUGCCCAGGGUCCAUCCCAGUUUGCCCCAAGGUUGCCCAAGGCCCACCUAAGGUGGCCCAAGGUGGUUCAAGGUGGCCCAAAGUCCAUCCCAGGUGGCCGAAGAUCCAUGCCUGGUUGCCCAAGGCCCACCCAAGGUUGCCCAAGGUCCAUGCAAGGUGGCCAAAACUCCAUCCCAAGUGGCCCAAAAUGGUCCAAGAUGGCCCAAUGUCCAUCCAAGGUGGUUCAAGGUGGCCCAAAGUGGUUCAAGGUUGCCCAGAGACCAUCUCAGGUUGCCCAAGGUCCAUCCCUGGUUGCCAAAAGUGGUUUAAGGUGGCCCAGGGUCCAUCCCAGGUGGCCCAAACUCAAUCCCAGGUGGCCCAGGGUGGCCCAAAGUGGUCCAAGAUGGCCCAAGGUCCAUCCCAGGUUGCCCAAAGUCCAUCCCUGGUUGCCAAAAGUGGUUCAAGGUUGCCCAAACUCAAUCCCAGGUGGCCCAAAGUGGUUCAAGGUGGCCCAAUGUCCACCCAAGGUGGCCCAGAGUGGUCCCAGGUGGCCCAGGGUCCAUCCCAGGUUGCCCCAAGGCCACCACGGCUCCUCAGACCCCCCUGGGAUCCCCAAAAAUCCCAAAAAAAUCCCCCAAAAAAUCCCAAAAUUCCCCAAACGCCCGAAUUUGGCGAUUCCGCCCCAAAGCACUUACGGGGGGGGAGGGGUGGGGGCGGAGCCUUGACCCCUCCCCCACCCCAGAUUUGGGCUUUUCCCACCGAUUUUGGGCAAAUUCAUUCCUAAAAAAAAUUAAAAAUUGGGAAAUUUGGGAUGUGGGAGGGGUCAGAUCCCGGAAUUCUGGGGGGAUUUGGGGGGGAUUUGGGAGUUUCACGGUACCACCGGGACCUCCCGGCGCUCUUCGCACUUUAAGACCCCCCCAAAGGGCACAAAAAUCCCAAAAAUAAAAUUUAAAAAAGGCUCCCAUCCCAAAAUUUUAAUUUUGGGGGAUU